AGUAGUUUGAUCCGUGGCUCGAGGACGAACGCUGGCGGCGUGCUUCAUACAUGCAAGUCGAACGAGAAUCUUGUGCUUGCACAAGAGGAAAGUGGCGGACGGGUGAGUAAUGUGUAGAGAAUCUGCCCUGAAGAGGGGGACAACAGAGGGAAACUUCUGCUAAUACCCCAUAUGCGCGUAGUUGCAAUACUAUUCGUGAAAGAUUUAUCGCUUCAGGAUGAGUCUGCAUCUGAUUAGCUAGUUGGAGGUGUAAUGGACCACCAAGGCGACGAUCAGUAGCUGGUUUGAGAGGAUGAUCAGCCACAAUGGGACUGAGACACGGCCCAUACUCC
RNAcentral lists this ribosomal RNA (332 nucleotides) under uncultured cyanobacterium. RNAcentral's name for it is "bacterial SSU rRNA". It matches the Rfam family "Bacterial small subunit ribosomal RNA", at positions 1 to 339 of the family's 1533-position model. Lineage: Bacteria; Bacillati; Cyanobacteriota. The record is from RNAcentral.